AUCCUGGGGCUGUAGCCGGUCCCAAGGGUAUGGCUGUUCGCCAUUUAAAGUGGUACGUGAGCUGGGUUCAAAACGUCGUGAGACAGUUUGGUCCCUAUCUGCAGUGGGCGUUGGAAGUUUGAGGGGGGCUGCUCCUAGUACGAGAGGACCGGAGUGGACGCACCUCUGGUGUACCGGUUGUCACGCCAGUGGCAUCGCCGGGUAGCUACGUGCGGAAGAGAUAACCGCUGAAAGCAUCUAAGCGGGAAACUCGCCUCAAGAUGAGACUUCCCGGGGACUUGAUCCCCCUGAAGGGUCGCGGAAGACCACCGCGUUGAUAGGCCGGAUGUGUAAGAGGAGUAAUCCUUUGAGCUAACCGGUACUAAUUGCCCGUGCGGCUUGAUCCUAUAACC
RNAcentral lists this ribosomal RNA (392 nucleotides) under Betaproteobacteria bacterium. RNAcentral describes it as "partial 23S ribosomal RNA". It matches the Rfam family "Bacterial large subunit ribosomal RNA", at positions 2544 to 2925 of the family's 2925-position model. Lineage: Bacteria; Pseudomonadati; Pseudomonadota; Betaproteobacteria. The record is from RNAcentral.